RNAcentral lists this long non-coding RNA (199 nucleotides) under Malus domestica (apple). RNAcentral describes it as "long non-coding RNA (MDOM_LNC005815)". Lineage: Eukaryota; Viridiplantae; Streptophyta; Magnoliopsida; Rosales; Rosaceae. The record is from RNAcentral.
CACUGUUCUUCAAAGAUCAAGCCCAAAAGCCCCUUUGAAGAUCCGCUCAAAUCCACCUUCAAGAUCAAGUCCACGGCCCUUGAAGAACGUUCAUCCUUAGAUCAAGCCCAACGGCCCUUUGGAUCAAUCACACAUCCACAAAUACACACCUUACGGAGAUCGAAUCAGAGGAUCAAAUUUGAGAGAGAUUGUAACCCAA